This 463-nucleotide ribosomal RNA is filed under the name uncultured bacterium. Its description in RNAcentral is "partial 16S ribosomal RNA". It matches the Rfam family "Bacterial small subunit ribosomal RNA", at positions 28 to 507 of the family's 1533-position model. The record is from RNAcentral.
GACGAACGCUGACAGAAUGCUUAACACAUGCAAGUCGAUGGGGAAGUGGUGCUUUCACCAUGGCCACCAUGGCGGACGGGUGAGUAACGCGUAAGGGACUUACCUGCAGGACUGGGAUAACAGGGGGAAACUCCUGACAAGAUCGGAUAAUGUCAUGGAGCUGCAUGGCUUUAUGAUGAAAGGAGACGCCUGCGGAGAGCCUUGCGUCCUAUUAGCUAGUUGGUGAGGUAAUGGCUCACCAAGGCGAAGAUAGGUAGCCGGCCUGAGAGGGUGGACGGCCACAAGGAGACUGAGAUACGGCCGUUACUCCUACGAGGGGCAGCAGUGGAGAAUAGUGGACAGUGGGGGCAACCCUGAUACCGCAGUUCUGUGUGGACGAAGAAGGUUUUCGGAUUGUAAAGUGCUUUCAGCAGGGGAGAAGUAAGUGACGGUACCUGCAGAAGAAGCGACGGCUAACUACGUG